AAACUGUUAGAAACCCUGAUCUAAUGCUUAUGUCUAAUGUUCAUUCAAUUCAGUUAACAUGAUUUCGCUGGUGGUACUGUUUUUCAUGGUGUAUUUAACUUCCACGUGAACUUAACAUGAAUUUGCAUAAGUGUUCCUUUUUUAUGUCUUCAGGCUGUGUGGAUGCAGAGUUACAGAGAAACAGUGUUUCAUCCUGACUUCAGCUCUGAAAUCAAACCCUUCACAUCUGAGAGAACUGGACCUCAGUGAGAACAAAAUAAAAAACACAGGAGUGAAGCAUUUAUGUGACAUACUGAAGGAUCCAGACUGUAAACUUGAGAGAUUGAGUCUGCAUGACUGUGGCAUUACAGAUCUUCAUACUUUAAUUCAGUCUUUGACAAACACAAAAGCACUGCAGUUUCUAAAAGAGCUUGAUCUGAGUUACAAUAUGAUUGGAGACUCAAAGCAGCAGCUCAUUGAUGUGCUACAAGGCUCAAACUGUAAACUACUAGAAAAAGAACACUGGCUCACAGCUAGUCUAAGCAACAUUAAUUUAAGCUGAACUCCAACAGGAUGGAACCAGCAAUCACCAUCAGCUGACAGAGCUACACAAGAGCUCUACUAUAGUGUUUAAAUCUAUGAGGAUAAAUUAAUUAAUUCAUUAUUAAUCUUAAUUAUGAACACACUGGUUUGUACAGUUUUACUGUUUAUGGCAUGUUGUUAUUCUCCUCGUUAUUUAGCUAUAGCAGCUAAUGAUCCAGAAGUCUCACCCAAAGGCUUACUUCUGCGUUGAAGAAAAACGUGGAUAUCAUGGUCUGAUUUGUCUGUAAGAAUUUUUUGGCAUCUUUGUAUAGUCUCACCUUUUUUUAAAUGUAAUAUUAUUUUCUUUUUUCUUCUUUUUUUUUU
Carassius auratus (goldfish) is the source of this 885-nucleotide long non-coding RNA. RefSeq lists it as uncharacterized. The transcript has 3 exons. The record is from RefSeq and is a predicted model, not a curated record. NCBI's taxonomy places the organism in Eukaryota, Metazoa, Chordata, Actinopteri, Cypriniformes, Cyprinidae.